AUUGAACGCUGGCGGAAUGCUUUACACAUGCAAGUCGAACGGCAGCACGGACUUCGGUCUGGUGGCGAGUGGCGAACGGGUGAGUAAUAUAUCGGAACGUGCCCAGUCGUGGGGGAUAACGUAGUGAAAAUUACGCUAAUACCGCAUACGAUCUAAGGAUGAAAGCGGGGGAUCGCAAGACCUCGCGCGAUUGGAGCGGCCGAUAUCAGAUUAGGUAGUUGGUGGGGUAAAGGCUCACCAAGCCAACGAUCUGUAGCUGGUCUGAGAGGACGACCAGCCACACUGGAACUGAGACACGGUCCAGACUCCUACGGGAGGCAGCAGUGGGGAAUUUUGGACAAUGGACGCAAGUCUGAUCCAGCCAUUCCGCGUGCAGGAUGAAGGCCCUCGGGUUGUAAACUGCUUUUGUACGGAACGAAAAGGUCUCUCUUAAUACGGGGGGCUCAUGACGUACCGUAAGAUAAGCACCGGCUAACUACGUGCCAGCAG
RNAcentral lists this ribosomal RNA (489 nucleotides) under uncultured bacterium. RNAcentral's name for it is "bacterial SSU rRNA". It matches the Rfam family "Bacterial small subunit ribosomal RNA", at positions 30 to 514 of the family's 1533-position model. The record is from RNAcentral.